AUUGAACGCUGGCGGCAGGCCUAACACAUGCAAGUCGAACGGUAACAGGAAGAAGCUUGCUUCUUUGCUGACGAGUGGCGGACGGGUGAGUAAUGUCUGGGAAACUGCCUGAUGGAGGGGGAUAACUACUGGAAACGGUAGCUAAUACCGCAUAACGUCGCAAGACCAAAAAGGGGGACCUUCGGGCCUCUUGCCAUCGGAUGUGCCCAGAUGGGAUUAGCUAGUAGGUGGGGUAACGGCUCACCUAGGCGACGAUCCCUAGCUGGUCUGAGAGGAUGACCAGCCACACUGGAACUGAGACACGGUCCAGACUCCUACGGGAGGCAGCAGUGGGGAAUAUUGCACAAUGGGCGCAAGCCUGAUGCAGCCAUGCCGCGUGUAUGAAGAAGGCCUUCGGGUUGUAAAGUACUUUCAGCGGGGAGGAAGGGAGUAAAGUUAAUACCUUUGCUCAUUGACGUUACCCGCAGAAGAAGCACCGGCUAACUCCGUGC
This 491-nucleotide ribosomal RNA is filed under the name uncultured bacterium. Its description in RNAcentral is "partial 16S ribosomal RNA". It matches the Rfam family "Bacterial small subunit ribosomal RNA", at positions 30 to 508 of the family's 1533-position model. The record is from RNAcentral.